Molecule: ribosomal RNA, 301 nt
Filed under: uncultured bacterium
Lineage: Bacteria
Description: partial 16S ribosomal RNA
Rfam family: Bacterial small subunit ribosomal RNA
Source: RNAcentral
CAGCCGCCACGGGAAUACGAAGGGGGCUAGCGUUACUCGGAAUUACUGGGCGUAAAGGGCGCGUAGGCGGCGCGAUUAGUCAGGCGUGAAAUUCCUGGGCUCAACCUGGGGACUGCGCUUGAUACGGUCGAGCUAGAGGAUGGAAGAGGGUUGUGGAAUUCCCAGUGUAGAGGUGAAAUUCGUAGAUAUUGGGAAGAACACCGGUGGCGAAGGCGGCAACCUGGUCCAUUACUGACGCUGAGGCGCGACAGCGUGGGGUGCAAACAGGAUUAGAUACCCCUGUAGUCCCUGUCUCUUAUAC